CCAAAUCUGUCAGAAAGCCGGAAAGGACCUCGUGAGCCAACCACCGCUAAACUAGAACCUGGAGGGGCGCAAAACAAAAUGAGUGGGUCAGUAAAACAAAUUAGUUUUCCAAAACAUUUCAUUAAAACAGUUAUAUCCCCUCGCCGUAAAAACCUGUAUACUUUCCCAGAAAUAUAUAACCAUAUAAAAUCUCAACAUUUAAAUCUCAAAUCUUUAACAUUUUCAAGAAAACAUGCCAUGACAUAAAUCAAAAUAUAAAUCAGGUGAAAUAAGGAAUCAAUCGGAGACCCUGCAGUUGGUCCUAUACGAUUAAUUCAAUAGCUCAAAUCCCACUAAGCCGGAGUCACCCCAGUGACCUGUACGACCCUACUCUGCACAUCACUCGGAACUACGUAAGGUAGUCUAUACGAUGAAAGGUGUAAAAAUACGCUCUAGUGCUUCUCUCAUCAUAUCAUCAGCGCGCAUAACUAAGGUCACCCACUAGUCGGAAUCACGCCUAGUGAUCUGUAUGACUAGCAUGUCGGAACCCUCACAUGGUCUGUACGACAUCCACCUACUUGGAUCCAAGGCGAGCGUGCGGUGUGGUGAAUAAUAUAAGCACUAACACCUAGGGUGCAGAUUACGAGCUCAAAUUAUAUCGAUAUCAACCAAUUAAAUGCAUAAAUGAACUCACCUGACUUACCUUUGCCUCCACAGCACCAUGCAAUAAGUAUGCAUCAUAUAUCAAUCACAUAAUUCAUAAACCAAUUCAUGAUUUUCAAAUAGUUCUAGGCAUGGCAUGUUCAAAACAUAUUUUCAUAUAAAAACAUUUUUCUGGGAAAAACAGUAGUAUAUAGGUAAUACGAAAACAAAACUGCCCACUCACUGAUAAGUCGACAGGUCGUAACCCCCGUGGCGUCCCUGGAUGCGGUCGUCCUCGGGAUACGUCUCACCUAUAUGCGAAACAACUAUAAAAACAUUAAUUUUAAGCAUAUCACCAAUAAUUCGAAAUAACUUCUCAUACGAUGCUCAAUUUUGGUAUAUGAAUAUACCACAUCGACCUACUCGACGUCACGAGCGUCGAGAAAUUUUCAGAAAAAUUUUUGGAAGCCCCACGCGCCACACGUGGCACGGGUCCAUGCGCUGGCCACGCGCAGCACGUGCAGCGCACGUGUCGUCUUCUUCGUAGGGCCUCGCCGGACUGGUUCUCCGGUGGCCGGACUCCGGCCGAACUCCGGCCGAUUUUCAAACUCACUGUUCUCCUUCGUUUUUCACCCAUUUUCUUCGUAUUUUAUACCAAAUUGAAGCCCUAAGAGUGUACUAUCACGUUGGACUAGUUUUAUGGCCUAAAAACUACGAAAUCUCACCUUGCAAAAACCAAAGAUUCGGCCAAACUUGAAACCUACGAUCCCGACGUCCAAAACUCUCCAACGAACGUCCCCGAGCUUCCUUAGGACCUCCUAAAGCUCACCACAAGCUUGAAAUCUCCUGAAACACAACAUUUUACGCUCGCAUGAACAGUACCUCAAAAAUGGAGGUUCGGGAUCUACGUGAAAUCGAAGGUUUCACUUCCUAAAACUAG
RNAcentral lists this long non-coding RNA (1561 nucleotides) under Malus domestica (apple). RNAcentral describes it as "long non-coding RNA (MDOM_LNC006690)". The record is from RNAcentral. Lineage: Eukaryota; Viridiplantae; Streptophyta; Magnoliopsida; Rosales; Rosaceae.